CUUUGUCAGACCCUUUGAGCUGAAAUCAUCAGUCUGUAUGUAACGUCUCGGUUCAGCUCCGGUUUGCAUAUGUGCAUGCUGCAGAGUUCUCGUUUUAAAUGGGGAGCUGCAGUUCAACACAAAUGCUCCUGUUUCUUUGGAGGAACAAGACCCUCCUAAGGUGCCGAAAUCCACUCAGUCGCUUUCACACACCCACAGAAAAUAAUGGCUUGACCUGCCUGUGGCCAGAUCUGACAUGCCCUGCUGUGGUGGGAAAAUUAAUUCACCUCACUACACCGCAGUCACCCUCAGCUGAGUCCUGCAAUUAUUUCAUUAUGAUCUAAGUAAGGCUGAUAACAGAUCUCAUUUGAUACCAUGGAUGGCUGGGGGGGGCAGCAUGGGGGUGGGAAGUGGAUGCCCUCACAUGUCAAGGCCUUGCAUCUAACCAACCAAGCUUUGUAAGGCUUUCUUGCUUGAUGGAAAUGGGGGUGAUUAAAGACAUGUUGUGCCCGUCUGUGUGUCUUCUGCAUGACUUUUCUCCCCAGAAUGAUUUACUGUGCAGUUAGCAUAUUUGAAAACCUGGAGGCUUUUCAUCUUCUGCAAGGCGAGGGAGGGAUGUGUUUGAUGGGCUGAUUGGAGGAGCACACUCAGAUCCCAGUGUUUUCUGGGGAAAGAAUACAUUAUCUUCUUUUCCUCCCUCCCUCCCUCCCUCCCUCUCUUUAUCUUUUCCUUUUCUUUCUCCUUUCCUUUCUUCUUUCCUUUCCCUUUUCCAUUCCUUUUUCCUUCCCUUCUUCUUCCUUUCUUCCUCUCCCCUGCUCUCCCUCCCUUCCUCCCUUCCUUCCUUUCUUCCUUUCUUCUCUUUCACUUCCUCUCCCUCUCUUUUUUUCACCUGUACUGUGACAGAUGGAUGAAGGGAGCCCUGAAAAAGUGUUAAUUGCUCUUUUUUUGUUGUUUUGUUUUCUUUUUAUUUCUUUUUUUUUUUUUUCCUUUUUUUUAAAUUCAAGUGGUUUGGAGGUUCAUAAGACCCUCUAAUUAAAGAAUCUGAGAGUGAGCUGGGCAUCUGG
RNAcentral lists this long non-coding RNA (1043 nucleotides) under Coturnix japonica (Japanese quail). RNAcentral describes it as "lncRNA (ENSCJPG00005002539.1)". The record is from RNAcentral. Lineage: Eukaryota; Metazoa; Chordata; Aves; Galliformes; Phasianidae.